Eucalyptus grandis is the source of this 536-nucleotide long non-coding RNA. RefSeq lists it as uncharacterized. NCBI's taxonomy places the organism in Eukaryota, Viridiplantae, Streptophyta, Magnoliopsida, Myrtales, Myrtaceae. The record is from RefSeq and is a predicted model, not a curated record. The transcript is spliced from 2 exons.
CUCCGCCGCUGCUCCAGCAUCACUCAACACCGGCGGACCUCCAUCGCAGCAGCCCGCUCUCCGCGACACCCACGGCUCGACGCCAAUCCGGGCUACCCUCCGCUCCGAGUCCCCGACGCCUGAGUCUUCCUCCGCCCGAGCGUCUGCCGAUUACCAUUCGCAAAGCCGACGCCGGUGGCCGUCCGCCCACACGUGAUUCGUGCGCCGCAUCCCUCUGUUGCCGUCGGCUCACCGGCCUACCUUAGCCGGAGCUCUGAACGCCGACGACCCAACCUCCGGUGAUCCAUCGAAGCCGCUCAACCGUAGGUGAAGAAAGCAAGAAAAGAAAAACAAAAACAAAAGAAAAAGAGAAAAGCAAAUUAGGCAUUAUACGUAAGGAUUUUGUCCGAACUUAUUGUAAUUAUUAAUUUGAUCCGAGAGACAUCGGAUCAAUUUUUUAAUUAUAUUAAGUUUCAGGCUUUUUGAUGGUAUUUUGGUUGUUAAAUCAAUGUAAUUAUUAAUUUGAUCCGUAAGACUUCGGAUUAGAUUUUUAAUUA